RNAcentral lists this ribosomal RNA (497 nucleotides) under uncultured bacterium. RNAcentral's name for it is "partial 16S ribosomal RNA". It matches the Rfam family "Bacterial small subunit ribosomal RNA", at positions 28 to 507 of the family's 1533-position model. The record is from RNAcentral.
GAUGAACGCUGGCGGCGUGCCUAAUACAUGCAAGUCGAGCGAACAGACGAGGAGCUUGCUCCUCUGACGUUAGCGGCGGACGGGUGAGUAACACGUGGAUAACCUACCUAUAAGAAUGGGAUAACUUCGGGAAACCGGAGCUAAUACCGGAUAAUAUAUUGAACCGCAUGGUUCAAUAGUGAAAGACGGUUUUGCUGUCACUUAUAGAUGGAUCCGCGCCGCAUUAGCUAGUUGGUAAGGUAACGGCUUACCAAGGCAACGAUGCGUAGCCGACCUGAGAGGGUGAUCGGCCACACGGGAACUGAGACACGGUCCAGACUCCUACGGGAGGCAGCAGUAGGGAAUCUUCCGCAAUGGGCGAAAGCCUGACGGAGCAACGCCGCGUGAGUGAUGACGGUCUUCGGAUCGUAAAACUCUGUUAUUAGGGAAGAACAAAUGUGUAAGUAACUAUGCACGUCUUGACGGUACCUAAUCAGAAAGCCACGGCUAACUACGUG